CUGGAGGUAGAAUUGCCAAGAGCCAGGCUACUGCCUUCUAGGAUAAGGUAAUGUCUUAGGAAAUACCUCCUCCUAAGGAGGUUCAAGUAAAAGGUAAAUUUCAACUGGGAGGGAAGAUUCUAGUAUGGCAUGGUGCUUGUCAUGUGGAAGGUACAUUGGGCUGAUUACCAUGAUUUAAAACCAGUGUCUUAAAGGGCAUGGAAAAAGAAGAGUAUGUAAAAUUAAAAUGAGCAAUCUCUGAAUCUCUGAGGCAUAAAAAGAGGAGUACACAGAAUCAUCAAUGAUAACAGUGGCCAUGAUAUCAAUGGCCAUGGUGGCCACGGCUGUGGGAGUGAAGGAGACAUGUUGCCUUAGAAGUGGCAGUGGGGGAAACUGAUAGCAUUAACAAUCUCGGAGUGUCUUUUAAUAGCCCUCAAAGUUGGACACUAGGAACCAUGCCUCAUAUGUGGGCAUCAGCAAUGACAGCACUUCUGAUGGGCAGCAGUGAAGUCUGUGGGGGUAAAUGGCACCAUGAGCCUUUGAGAACAGGAGAGGAUUGAAUGUCUUGAGAACGCAGUGAGGUGUGACCUAUGAUUUCCAGAAUAAUUUGGCAACUGUGAAGGGGGGUAGAAAUUCAUAAAACAUAGGUGAGGUUGGAAUUGAAGAAAUACAGUUUUGUCGACUUCGUGAUCAUUUUCUUAACCCCUUUGUGAUAGCCUGAAAGCAGAAGAAAUAAGAUUAAGUGCCUGAUAGAAGAAAAAGUUGGCUCAGAUCUACAUAUUGUUGGGUCGGGCUCCAAAUUCCUUAAUAGGAUGCCCAUAGCACAAGAGUUAAAAACAAG
Molecule: long non-coding RNA, 820 nt
Filed under: Marmota monax (woodchuck)
Lineage: Eukaryota; Metazoa; Chordata; Mammalia; Rodentia; Sciuridae
Source: RNAcentral